RNAcentral lists this ribosomal RNA (493 nucleotides) under uncultured bacterium. RNAcentral describes it as "partial 16S ribosomal RNA". It matches the Rfam family "Bacterial small subunit ribosomal RNA", at positions 29 to 507 of the family's 1533-position model. The record is from RNAcentral.
ACGAACGCUGGCGGCGUGCUUAACACAUGCCAGUCGAACGGUGAAGCGCCUUCCUUUUUGGUGGGUGUGGAUGAGUGGCGAACGGGUGAGUAACACGUGAGUAACCUGCCCCCUUCUUCUGGAUAACCGCAUGAAAGUGUGGCUAAUACGGGAUAUUCUGGGUCUGUCGCAUGAUGGGUCUGGGAAAGAUAUUGUUUCGGUGGGGGAUGGGCUCGCGGCCUAUCAGCUUGUUGGUGGGGUGAUGGCCUACCAAGGCGGUGACGGGUAGCCGGCCUGAGAGGGUGGACGGUCACACUGGGACUAAGACACGGCCCAGACUCCUACGGGAGGCAGCAGUGGGGAAUAUUGCACAAUGGGCGCAAGCCUGAUGCAGCGACGCCGCGUGAGGGAUGGAGGCCUUCGGGUUGUGAACCUCUUUCGCCAGUGAAGCAGGCCUGCCUCGUUUGUGGGUGGGUUGACGGUAGCUGGAUAAGAAGCGCCGGCUAACUACGUG